UAGGGAAUCUUCCGCAAUGGGCGAAAGCCUGACGGAGCAACGCCGCGCGAGUGAUGAAGGUCUUCGGAUCGUAAAACUCUGUUAUUAGGGAAGAACAAAUGCGUAAGUAACUAUGCACGUCUUGACGGUACCUAAUCAGAAAGCCACGGCUAACUACGUGCCAGCAGCCGCGGUAAUUCGUAGGUGGCAAGCGUUAUCCGGCAUUAUUGGGCGUAAAGCGCGCGUAGGCGGUUUUUUAAGUCUGAUGUGAAAGCCCACGGCUCAACCGUGGAGGGUCAUUGGAAACUGGAAAACUUGGUUGCAGAAGAGGAAAGUGGAAUUCCAUGUGUCUCUGUGAAAUGCGCAGAGAUAUGGAGGAACACCAGUUGCGAAGGCGACUUUCUGGUCUGUAACUGACGCUGAUGUGCGCAAGCGUGGGGAUCAAACAGG
RNAcentral lists this ribosomal RNA (429 nucleotides) under Actinomycetes bacterium. RNAcentral describes it as "Actinobacteria bacterium partial 16S ribosomal RNA". It matches the Rfam family "Bacterial small subunit ribosomal RNA", at positions 355 to 776 of the family's 1533-position model. The record is from RNAcentral. Lineage: Bacteria; Bacillati; Actinomycetota; Actinomycetes.